RNAcentral lists this ribosomal RNA (486 nucleotides) under uncultured bacterium. RNAcentral's name for it is "partial 16S ribosomal RNA". It matches the Rfam family "Bacterial small subunit ribosomal RNA", at positions 30 to 507 of the family's 1533-position model. The record is from RNAcentral.
AUUGAACGCUGGCGGCAUGCCUUACACAUGCAAGUCGAACGGCAGCACGGGUGCUUGCACCUGGUGGCGAGUGGCGAACGGGUGAGUAAUACAUCGGAACAUGUCCUGUAGUGGGGGAUAGCCCGGCGAAAGCCGGAUUAAUACCGCAUACGAUCUACGGAUGACAGCGGGGGACCUUCGGGCCUCGCGCUAUAGGGUUGGCCGAUGGCUGAUUAGCUAGUUGGUGGGGUAAAGGCCUACCAAGGCGACGAUCAGUAGCUGGUCUGAGAGGACGACCAGCCACACUGGGACUGAGACACGGCCCAGACUCCUACGGGAGGCAGCAGUGGGGAAUUUUGGACAAUGGGCGAAAGCCUGAUCCAGCAAUGCCGCGUGUGUGAAGAAGGCCUUCGGGUUGUAAAGCACUUUUGUCCGGAAAGAAAUCCUUGGCCCUAAUACGGUCGGGGGAUGACGGUACCGGAAGAAUAAGCACCGGCUAACUACGUG